UGUGAAAUUGAGAAUCAUGAUAAAAUCCUCAUACCUCCUCCUCUUUUGACCAAAUCUUUCUAAAAUGCACAAUUAUAAUUUCUUAUCUUUAGGAAAAAGUAAUUAUGUUAUAUGUGUUAUAUACACUAUGUAAAUAUAGUUCAUUAAAUCAUUCUUUGGUGUUUGAAGACUUUCUAAUUCAUUACUUCAUUCCAGACAUCAAUGACAACAGCACAUACCGAGCAGGUACACAUAUGAGCUACCUACUAAUAUGCCCUGAUUUUGAUUGUAUUUUGUGAAAACCUUGGUAUGGGUUAUUUUUAAAUGAAUGUUUUCCCAAAUUUUAAGCUGAAACUAGGAUGCAUCAAAAUUAUCUUGGUCAUAAUCUUGUCAAUGAUGUCAUCUAAAGGCCACCAGGAACACACCUGUAGCCCAGCAAAGUUGAGGCCAUCGACUGGCUCAUCACAACAAGGAAGGCUGUGCACCACUGGGACCCAGCAGCAGCUCAGCAGCAGCAGUGAGAGGGCCUUGGGAAAGACUUGGAGGGUUUGGCUUAUACAAGGUGAUCUUGGGGAGGGUCAAGGAAACAGGCUGUGAUGGUUAAUAUUGAGUGUCAACUUGAUUGGAUUGAAGGAUGCAAAGGAUUGUUCCUGGGUGUAUAUGUGAGAGUGUGGCCAAAGGAGAUUAACAUUUUAGUCAGUGGACUGGGAGAGGCACACCCACCCUCAAUCUGGGUGGGCAUCAUCUAAUCAGCUGCCACAGCAGCUAAAAUAAAGCAGGCAGAAGUUGGAAUGAGCAGACUUGCUGAGUGUUCCAGCCUUCAUCUUUCUCCCAUGCUGGAUGCUUCCUGCCCUCGAACAUCAGACUCCAAGUUCUUCAGCUUUUUUUUUUUUUUUUGGACUCUUGGACUUACAGCAUUGGUUUGCCAGGGGCUCCCAGGCCUCUAGCCGCAGACUGAAGGCUGCACUGUGAGCCUCCCUACCUUUGAAGUUUGGGACUCAGACUGGCUUCUUGGCUCCUCAGCUUGCAGUCGGCCUAUUGUGAGACUUCCCCUUGUGAUCAUGUGAGCCAAUUCUCCUGAUAAACUCACCUUCAUAUAUACAUCUAUCCUAUUAGUUCUAUCCGUUUAGAGAACCCUGACUAAUACACAGGCCAUGCUCAGAUGGAGUGCUGUCUGGAAAUGGGAGUAAUUCUGUGGUUGAAUGUCUUAAUUGUCCUGGAAGGUGGGAGAAAUGGAAUGAGGCUGGUGCUACAAUUGAUGUAAAAGCAGCAGCUGCUCACAUAAGCCGGGGUGGAGGAUGCCUAGGCGUAUUUGUGGUAUUGACCAUGUUCUUGUUUUUGUUUGUGACCAGACCAGAUUACAGAGGGGUAUUGAUUUGCCUUGCCCCCGCCCCCACCAUCACAGUGUGUCCCUGUCCAGUGUUGGUGCUGUGUGGCAUUGCUUGUGUCCAUAGGAGUCCAUCAAGGCAGAGCGGCAGAGCGGCAAGCAGAGCGGCAAGGCAGUUCAACCCAAUGGAAAUGGAUUGAAAGAGUGAAAGUCACUGGUCUCAAAGAAUCUACGGAAUUUAGCAUUUUGAAAAUCACAGAGCAAUUUUGGGUAGGUAUUCACAUGCACUAAAAAACCAGGCAAACAUCUGACUCCCAGGAUAAAGUGACUGAGAGCAGUAGAAGACUUGUUGAGCCUUAAGGAAUAAGAGGAAAAUUAUGUUAUGAAGUGCAGGAACAGCACAGACCCAGACGAGGGGAUGCAGCCCGGAGCCAGUAACCCGGCGCCUCCUCCUCCCCAGGGCGCAGCGCUGGCUGCUCCCCGGAUACCGUGAUCACACGUCCCAGGUCCUGAGAGCGCCUCAUAGGUAGACAGUUCUUUGGGACUUUUGGGACGCAGCACUUGAAGAGAGGUUUACCUAAACUUUCCUCCUGGGAGCCUGUCAUCAUUUGAAAGUAACAGAAGAAAGCUGUCAGGCUGAGGAAAGUUUCAACAGGCACUUGGUGAGAAUGGGAAGCAUCCAUUCAUUGGGAAAUCACGGGGACAGAGGAGGAAUUCACGGGAUCAGAGCACUGAGAAACUCCAGAGGCUUCUGGUUCACCGCCCUGAUUCCACAGAUGUGGGUCAGAGGCAGAGAUGGAAGUUGGAAUGGACAAGCCUGCCCUCUCCUCAGCUCUCCAUGGCUCUGUCCUCAGGCUGUUUCUGCAAUUUGACAUGAGGCCUGGCCCCAGGGAAACCAGUGGGGCCUCAUCUCCUCCCUGUGCUGCUCUGAGGUGGAGCCUUCUCAGGGUCAGUCCAGCUCUGGAGCCCCUCUCCAGCUCGGUCACCAAAGCUGUCUGGUCCCAGGGCAGUGUGGAGUGACAGGCACGCCAGCCAAUCCAAUCGGCCAUUUCAUACCCAAUGCAUGUGACUGAUAAAGAGAUAACACCCUGUCUCCAAGACACAGGCUUUACAUAAACAGCUUUAAUGACUUCUUCACUUAGGGACAAGACUCCUUAGUGGUGGAACCUCAGGCAUCCAUGCAGGAUGUAAGAAAGCUCCCGUAUAUACAUGAACUGAGAAGUGUGUAGAAGAGUAAAUACUGUAAUAGGUAAUAAAAUGUAUGUAUUUUUAUUUAUGUGCUACUUUGUCUUUCUCCCUCUCUGUGUAUAUACACAUACAUACAAAAAUGUAUUCAUUCUAUGGAAAACAUGAAAGAUGUAAUAUUCUUUACAUAUUUAAUUAAUGUAUUUUUUCUGAUCAUAUGAAC
RNAcentral lists this long non-coding RNA (2714 nucleotides) under Homo sapiens (human). RNAcentral's name for it is "PREDICTED lncRNA (TCONS_00231682)". Lineage: Eukaryota; Metazoa; Chordata; Mammalia; Primates; Hominidae. The record is from RNAcentral.